GCCCCCGUUGUCUAAUGGCUAUGACGUCAGACUUCUACGUAUGAUUACGUAAUUCAUCUGGAGGCUGCGGGUUCGAGUCCCGCCGGGGGUA
Non-coding RNA from Pilatotrama ljubarskyi, 91 nucleotides. Lineage: Eukaryota; Fungi; Basidiomycota; Agaricomycetes; Polyporales; Polyporaceae. The record is from the annotation of a GenBank genome assembly.